Molecule: ribosomal RNA, 513 nt
Filed under: uncultured bacterium
Lineage: Bacteria
Description: partial 16S ribosomal RNA
Rfam family: Bacterial small subunit ribosomal RNA
Source: RNAcentral
GAUGAACGCUGGCGGCGUGCCUAAUACAUGCAAGUCGAGCGAACAGAUAAGGAGCUUGCUCCUUUGACGUUAGCGGCGGACGGGUGAGUAACACGUGGGUAACCUACCUAUAAGACUAGGAUAACUUCGGGAAACCGGAGCUAAUACCGGAUAACAUUUGGAACCGCAUGGUUCUAAAGUGAAAGAUGGUUUUGCUAUCGCUUAUAGAUGGACCCGCGCCGUAUUAGCUAGUUGGUAAGGUAACGGCUUACCAAGGCGACGAUACGUAGCCGACCUGAGAGGGUGAUCGGCCACACUGGAACUGAGACACGGUCCAGACUCCUACGGGAGGCAGCAGUAGAGAAUCUUCCGCAAUGGGCGAAAGCCUGACGGAGCAACGCCGCGUGAGUGAUGAAGGGUUUCGGCUCGUAAAACUCUGUUAUUAGGGAAGAACAAAUGUGUAAGUAACUGUGCACGUCUUGACGGUACCUAAUCAGAAAGCCACGGCUAACUACGUGCCAGCCGCCGCAGUAA